This is a non-coding RNA of Danio rerio (zebrafish), 774 nucleotides long. Lineage: Eukaryota; Metazoa; Chordata; Actinopteri; Cypriniformes; Danionidae. The record is from RefSeq and is a predicted model, not a curated record.
GGCCCAGGCGGGGCUUGAACCAGCAACCUUCUUGCUGUGAAGCGACGGUGCUAACCACUGUGCUGCCCUAUGUGCUCUAUGCGGGUGAGUGGGAUUGACAAACCACUUGGAGGGAACACUCUUGCUGUCUUAACCAGACAUUUUGUUAUAAAUAAUCAUGUGCGUUUCAUGUUUAUUCAUAUAACUGCUAUUUUAUCUCUUAGCACUUCAUUUUUGUCUUGAUAUUUAAUAUCUCUUGUUUAAAUACACUAUGAACAGCAGCUGCGCUAAUUAUUUUCCUUGUUCCCUAUUUCCACCUGGGGAUAUUCAUCCAGAGGCCUCUAGAGAUCGUAACCUGUGAAGAGAUGAUGCCACCAUAGAGGACUUCUAAAUGUAUCCAUAAUCCUGAAACAGACCAUAUCAUGAGCAGAUGCUGUGGUGGUCAUGGAGAAGUGGAGAGCAUGAGACUGAUUAAUGAAAGACCCCAGUGACAGAUGAGUGCCCACAUUGACCCUGUGGUCCAGCCUGAAAACCAGCUGGUGACCUACUCACACCUGCAGCUUCUCUACGAUGGACGCCCAGUGUUUGCCUCCAGCGCCUAGACUGCAGCUCUGCAUGUGAAGUGUGGCCAGAAGAGAAAUGGUUGUGCCCAACUGAGCCUAGUUUCUCUCAAGGAGCUAAAGUCUACAGCCAGUCUGAAUGCAGCAACUGAAUAAACAGUGGGGUCAAUUUUGUGGUUGAAUUGCAUUAAUAAAAAAAAAAGUGUGGAUAUUUAUAUAAAUGUACAUUCUUGAA